UCACUUUAAGAUCUUCCUGAAUCCGCUGU
RNAcentral lists this small RNA (29 nucleotides) under Bombyx mori (domestic silkworm). Its description in RNAcentral is "piRNA piR-bmo-1281109". The record is from RNAcentral. Lineage: Eukaryota; Metazoa; Arthropoda; Insecta; Lepidoptera; Bombycidae.